RNAcentral lists this unclassified non-coding RNA (310 nucleotides) under Anthonomus grandis grandis. Its description in RNAcentral is "major royal jelly protein 1-like". Lineage: Eukaryota; Metazoa; Arthropoda; Insecta; Coleoptera; Curculionidae. The record is from RNAcentral.
AGUUUUAAGUUUAGUCUGCGAACUGAUUUGAUGCGGUUUGGCAACAAACGUGUUAGAACGUUUUAUGACGUUUAUGAAACAUUAUAUAUUUCAUAAACCAAACGUUUUAUGAAAUAUAACGUGAGUAGAAGUCGUGAUAAGAAUACGAGAUCCCAUCAGAUUAAUUACAUUCGGAUCAGUUUUUUAUUUUCGGUAAAACGGAAAGAAAGUGGCAAGAAAAAAUGAAAGUUUUAAAAAGGAGUUUCAAGUCGUUUAGAGCGACAAAUCAAGAAAUGGUGUUGAAUUUGGAACACAAAUCACAAAAGUUUUG